AAAUUAACCUGCCGAUUUGACACAGCUUGCGGGCAUAACAGCUAAAGCGUUCCGACAAUUUCAGCU
RNAcentral lists this unclassified non-coding RNA (66 nucleotides) under Neisseria gonorrhoeae. RNAcentral's name for it is "SAM_alpha". Lineage: Bacteria; Pseudomonadati; Pseudomonadota; Betaproteobacteria; Neisseriales; Neisseriaceae. RNAcentral also lists the same sequence under 1 other name. The record is from RNAcentral.